Molecule: transfer RNA, 89 nt
Filed under: Defluviicoccus sp.
Lineage: Bacteria; Pseudomonadati; Pseudomonadota; Alphaproteobacteria; Rhodospirillales; Rhodospirillaceae
Description: tRNA-Ser
Rfam family: tRNA
About the family: Transfer RNA (tRNA) molecules are approximately 80 nucleotides in length. Their secondary structure includes four short double-helical elements and three loops (D, anti-codon, and T loops).
Source: RNAcentral
GGAGGGGUGCCGGAGCGGUCGAACGGGGCGGUCUCGAAAACCGUUGUGCGCUAUGCGUACCGUGGGUUCGAAUCCCACCCCCUCCGCCA